Molecule: ribosomal RNA, 708 nt
Filed under: uncultured Thelephoraceae
Lineage: Eukaryota; Fungi; Basidiomycota; Agaricomycetes; Thelephorales; Thelephoraceae
Description: eukaryotic LSU rRNA
Rfam family: 5.8S ribosomal RNA (bases 185-339)
Source: RNAcentral
AGUUGUUGCUGGUCCUCAAAUGGGGGCAUGUGCACGCUCUGUUUACACAUCCACUCACACCUGUGCACCUUCUGUAGUUCUAUGGGCUGGGGGACCCUGUCCUCCUUCUGUAGCUCUACGUCUUUACACACACACUGUAAUAAAGUCUUGUGGAAUGUAUGCCGCGUUUAACGCAAUACAAUACAACUUUCAGCAACGGAUCUCUUGGCUCUCGCAUCGAUGAAGAACGCAGCGAAAUGCGAUAAGUAAUGUGAAUUGCAGAAUUCAGUGAAUCAUCGAAUCUUUGAACGCACCUUGCGCCCCUUGGUUAUUCCGAAGGGCAUGCCUGUUUGAGUAUCAUGAACACCUCAACUCUUGUGGUUUCCCACAAUGAGCUUGGACCAUGGGGGUUUUUGUUGGCCUUCUGGUCAGCUCCUCUCAAAUGUAUCAGCUUACCGGUGUUUGGUGGCAUCAUGGGUGUGAUAACUAUCUACGCUCGUGGUCGUCUCCAAAUGACCUCCAGUGAUGGGGGUUCGCUGGAGCUUAUAAAUGUCUCUCCCUAGUGAAGACAGCCUUUGAACGUUCGAUCUCAAAUCAGGUAGGACUACCCGCUGAACUUAAGCAUAUCAAUAAGCGGAGGAAAAGAAACUAACAAGGAUUCCCCUAGUAACUGCGAGUGAAGCGGGAAGAGCUCAAAUUUAAAAAUCUGGCGUGCCUCUGGUCGUCCGA